GCACCCCGCUCCGCACCUCGGGCCUGCCCGGCCCCUCCUCCGGCUCGGGCUGCCGGCGGGGGCAGGUGGGGCCCGCUUCGGACGCCGGCGGCGGGAUGGAACCGGUGAUCUUGGUGCCUGAGGAGCCCCGGUGGUCCCUCGCGGUGGGGUCGGAGGGAGGUUUCCUCCUUAGGGACAAGCGGGGGACGGAGCCGGGAGGUUAAUGGCCACGUAUCCACCACAGGGCCUUCCCGGCUUGGCCGGUGGGCUGCGGGGCAGCGCAGUGGGGAGAGACCUUUCCAGCUCGUCCCUUGACCCGUGUUUAGAGCUCUGAUAGUCAUAAUUGGCGCUGGUGGGGCUGCGCCUCCCAUCCUGGGGGCAGGGCUGGGCCCCUCAGGGCAAGAAGGACACGGAGGGGCUGGAGCGUGUCCAGGGAAAGGCAAGGGAGCUGGGGAAGGGGCUGGAGCAGAAGGAGAAGGGGCUGGAGAACUUGUGAGGAGCAGCUGAGGGAGCUGGGGUGUCCAGCCUGGAGCAAAGGAGGUGAGGGGAGACCUGCUGGCUCUGCAGCUCCUGAGAGGAGGUUGGAGCCAGGGGGGUCGGGCUCUGCUCCCCAGGAACAAGCGACAGGACCAGAGGGAACGGCCUCAAGUUGUGCCAGGGGAGGCUGAGGUUGGAUCUGGGGAACAAUUCCUUCCUGGCAAGGGUUGUCAGGGCCUGGCCCAGGCUGCCCAGGGCAGGGGGGGAGUCCCCAUCCCUGGAGGGGUUUCCAAGCCCUGGAGAUGGUGCUGAGGGACAUGGGGCAGGGGUGGCCUGGGCAGGGCUGGGGGAAGGGUUGGACUGGAUGUCUUAAAGGGCUUUUCCAACCAAAACAAUUCCAUGAUUCUAUGCUUUUGUGUAUCCUCAUUCUUCCUACUACUUUGUGUUCUGUGAUACUGAGUGACAAGUUGAAAAGGCUACUGCCAAGAGUUAUGGUCUCUAAUGGUCCUCUUUGUUUCUAAUCCUGGUUCCCACACUCCAGGCUCCUAGGGACACAGCUGAAAAUCAUAGCUAUGUUUCUCGGGGAGUCAUCUGGAGAUUCCUGCCUAUUGCUUCUGACACAGUAACAAAGCCAAGGACACACUAGUAAUGAGCCAGGAUCUUCCUCUCUCUCCAAAAGUCACUGCUGAACUUUUGGCUGCACCUUCCCCUGCAAAUUUAUAUUUUUAGUGCCCUGCAGUUGUGAUCCCACCAGUGUUUGGGAUCUCCCUUGCCAUGCUGGACCAAAAGAUGAGCUGAUCUUGUGGCUGUUUCCAGCCAUGCUCCUGUCAGGAGCCAGUCCCUGCAUGUGCUGGUUGCCUGGCACAGCCUGACCCUUGUACACCCCCUGCGCUGCCUGUCCCUGCUUCCCUGCUCUCCAGGCAUACAGGGAUCAGCUCUGCCUCUAGCCUGGAUUCUUGGCCAUCUCCCAGAAACUGCUUUUAUUGCUGCUCUUCUGUGCUCACUGCUUAGUCAACAUGCUUUAUGGGCAGCGUGAGACAUGUUCUCUAUCAGGCACAGAAAAACAACCUGCUGCUGCCACGAAGGAUGGGGCACACCUCCCUCCCAGGGUGUCCUCCAGGCAGGCUCCUGUCUCCCAACAGCCAGCUAAAUGUCAGCAACAGGCCCCAUCUGAGGAGGCCAUGGGAACCUAAUCCUUCCUCUUGGGUCAGCUAUAACCAGAACAGCUAAAUUGGAAGCAUCAAUAAUAAUGUAUGGCUAUCAACUCUCUAGGUGGCAUUUAAAGUCAGCAAACAACUGCAAGGGUUGGAUUUCAGAAAUUUUGCCCAGUAAGUGAUGGUGAGGCCAUCGAUGAUGGAAGCAGUUUUUAUCCCAGACACAUUAGGAGACACAGUAGUGCUCUUAAAAGGAAGUGAGAUCUCCAGUAGCAGCUGGAAUUAGUAAGCUCCAUAGAUACUCAGGCUUGGAAUGCCUCAGCUGAGCAGAAAGAACAGAAAAUGAAAGGAAUAACCACCAGAAGUGGAUUGGUUUUUUUUGGGGGGGUAUGAAUUUGGAGGUUUUUUGGGAGAAAGAGUAUGAGAAAGGAAGAAGAAUAAUUGGGCUAGGAAAAAAAGGAUUUAAAUGCAAUUUGUGGUGAGUUAUUUCAGCAUGAUCCAGCUCACACAAGUUUGAUAUGUGGAUACCUACCCCAUACGUGUACUAACAUGGGACUAAAUGUUGCUGGUUUGGCUCUCUCUAACAAACAUCCAAAUCAUGGUCAUAAAUUUGUUACAGUUGGGAAAAUGUCCUGCCCUCCCACCCCUCCAGGUUGUGCCCCCAGAUGUGGCUGCAUUGUCAGUAUCAAUGCAUGAUGAUUUUUGCUGAUUCCAAGCAAGGCAGUGUGUGAGUGUAAAACGUGUACAGGUGAACAUAUUCUGCACCCCAGAACCUCAGUGUUUCAUGAACUCUUCCAAACCAGCAACAUCUUAAAGGGAAUAGGAAAUUAGAGGGCUGUACUAUUCCUUGUCAUAAAGGGAACAUCCAAGAAUGAGUGAAAACUUGUGCAAGGCUCACAUUUCCCUUGCAACCUCCCUUUCUAUUCCUGGUGCAGCUACACACAAACCAGGGAUGGGCUGUUCUUUCCUCCCUGGAUAGGGUUCCUUUUCAGCUACAGUUGUCUCUUUAUCCCAGUUACUUUUCAACUCUGUUCUUAUCUUAGUUACUAGUUGGUAAAGAUUGGUCUUUGAGAGUUUGAAUAGUGAAAGAUUUCUACAAGGUUAAGCCAAAAAGAAAAAAAAGAAGUGCCUUGAAGUGUCACAAAUUCAUCCCUCUCGAGUCUGUUUUUUUAUUUAAUGUCUAGAUGAAAAUAUUCCCUCCUGAGUCCCAGUGUGUGUGGCUUGGUCCCUGGGACACCUGCCAAGGCAAGAAUUAUAAAUGCCCGAAAUCAUGUGCUCAGCAGGUGUAAAUUGUGUUCACCUUUUGUCCUUAACCCCAGAGGCAGUUUCUCUUUAUUAGCAAGGGAAGAGAGAGAGAUUAUCAUCUUUUCCUGACUGCCUGCCAAAGUUAUGUAUCAGAAGAAGAAAAAUCUCUUCCUGCAUUCACAGCUACGUUUUCUCCUGAUCUGUCCUCAGGAAAACCUCUUGGUGAGGAGCCAGGGGGUAAGAAUGAUCACAGAGGAACUGAAGUGACCCAGACAGAAGCAGAAGCUCUCUACUGAGAUUUUUUCAAGCAGGAUGUGUGGUGUGCCAGAGAGAGAGAUUAUAUGAAGAAAAAAGAAUGGAAAAGGCUCUUUGGAAUUUGGUUUAUAUUAUUUUCUUUCUGUAAGACAAUGGCAGACCAAAAUCAUCCCCAGUGAACACACACGUCUGCUUUUCAUCCAGGUGUUUUCUUCAUUGAGAAAGGAAAAAUCUUGGAAAACCUGUCCAAGGACAUACACAAUCACUUUGAAAGCCCUAACCUACUAUUCCAAUGCAGAAUGAAGAAAUACAGGAUUUGGGUCUCCUCUUCCAGUGCCCAUCUCCCUGGCAUUGCUUGCCUGAUGGCUUCUGUUUGUGCCCAUUAGAGCAGCAUCUGGGACAAACACUCUUGGAGUGUUCCCGGGUUUAUAAGGAAGUUUUGCAGCUCAGUUGUGCUGGGAGAAGUUGUUUUAAAUACCCACCUAUAUCAUUGUCACUUUUGGUCUGGUGACCUUUUGUAAUCCAGAGCUGUUCAGCUGGAAAGAAAGGGAUACAGGGAGAUCUGGAAGUUUCCUCGUUGCUGGUACCUGCACCAAACCAGCGCUGCUGGAGCCGGCACCGCGCCCCGGGUCCCUCCCAGCACUGGGUCUGACCACGCCAGCCAUCCUGGAGCUUCCCCAGCAUUUCAGAUGAUACCUUUUCAUCUGCAGAAAUAUUUUCCUCUGCAGAUUUAAAUAAUUAAUUGGGACGUGCCCAGUGGGUCUUGAGAUAAAGGCAGAAGAGGCAGCAGAUCCCUGUGACCAAGUGACCUUUUGCCGUCCCGCUCGUCCCUGCGCCUCGCUGUGCUCAGAGGGACGCUGUCAAAAUUGCUAGGCCUUAAAACUUUAACCUGCCCUGACAAGUUGUUCUACAUUAUAAGUCUUACCCGAAAGAUUA
Long non-coding RNA from Apus apus (common swift), 4046 nucleotides. RefSeq lists it as uncharacterized. The record is from RefSeq and is a predicted model, not a curated record. Lineage: Eukaryota; Metazoa; Chordata; Aves; Apodiformes; Apodidae. The transcript is spliced from 2 exons.